AGAGUUUGAUCAUGGCUCAGGAUGAACGCUGGCGGCGUGCCUAAUACAUGCAAGUCGAGCGAACCACUUCGGUGGUGAGCGGCGAACGGAUGAGUAACACGUAGGUGAUCUGCCCAUCAGACGGGGACAACGAUUGGAAACGAUCGCUAAUACCGGAUAGGACGAAAGUUUAAAGGUGCUUCUGGCACCGCUGAUGGAUGAGCCUGCGGCGCAUUAGCUAGUUGGUAGGGUAAAGGCCUACCAAGGCGACGAUGCGUAGCCGACCUGAGAGGGUGAACGGCCACACUGGGACUGAGACACGGCCCAGACUCCUACGGGAGGCAGCAGUAGGGAAUCUUCGGCAAUGGGCGAAAGCCUGACCGAGCAACGCCGCGUGAAUGAUGAAGGCCUUCGGGUUGUAAAAUUCUGUUAUAAGGGAAGAACGACUUUAGUAGGAAAUGGCUAGAGUGUGACGGUACCUUAUGAGAAAGCCACGGCUAACUACGUGCCAGCAGCCGCGGUAAUACGUAGGUGGCGGGCGUUAUCCGGAAUUAUUGGGCGUAAAGAGCGCGCAGGUGGUUGAUUAAGUCUGAUGUGAAAGCCCACGGCUUAACCGUGGAGGGUCAUUGGAAACUGGUCGACUUGAGUGCAGAAGAGGGAAGUGGAAUUCCAUGUGUAGCGGUGAAAUGCGUAGAGAUAUGGAGGAACACCAGUGGCGAAGGCGGCUUCCUGGUCUGUAACUGACACUGAGGCGCGAAAGCGUGGGGAGCAAACAGGAUUAGAUACCCUGGUAGUCCACGCCGUAAACGAUGAGUGCUAAGUGUUGGGGGUCGAACCUCAGUGCUGAAGUUAACGCAUUAAGCACUCCGCCUGGGGAGUACGGUCGCAAGACUGAAACUCAAAGGAAUUGACGG
Molecule: ribosomal RNA, 893 nt
Filed under: uncultured bacterium
Lineage: Bacteria
Description: bacterial SSU rRNA
Rfam family: Bacterial small subunit ribosomal RNA
Source: RNAcentral